Molecule: transfer RNA, 74 nt
Filed under: Proteus mirabilis
Lineage: Bacteria; Pseudomonadati; Pseudomonadota; Gammaproteobacteria; Enterobacterales; Morganellaceae
Description: tRNA-Ile
Rfam family: tRNA
About the family: Transfer RNA (tRNA) molecules are approximately 80 nucleotides in length. Their secondary structure includes four short double-helical elements and three loops (D, anti-codon, and T loops).
Source: RNAcentral
AGGCUUGUAGCUCAGGUGGUUAGAGCGCACCCCUGAUAAGGGCGAGGUCGGUGGUUCAAGUCCACUCAGGCCUA